RNAcentral lists this small nuclear RNA (95 nucleotides) under Cucumis melo (muskmelon). Lineage: Eukaryota; Viridiplantae; Streptophyta; Magnoliopsida; Cucurbitales; Cucurbitaceae. The record is from RNAcentral.
GUUCCUUUAGGGACUUCCAAUAAAUUUGGAACGAUAAAGAGAAGUUUAGCAUGACCCUUGUGCAAGGAUGACAUGCAAAAAAGAGUUAGAUAUCU